RNAcentral lists this ribosomal RNA (911 nucleotides) under Penicillium verrucosum. Its description in RNAcentral is "LSU rRNA". It matches the Rfam family "Eukaryotic large subunit ribosomal RNA", at positions 38 to 964 of the family's 3401-position model. Lineage: Eukaryota; Fungi; Ascomycota; Eurotiomycetes; Eurotiales; Aspergillaceae. The record is from RNAcentral.
GCAUAUCAAUAAGCGGAGGAAAAAGAAACCAACAGGGAUUGCCCCAGUAACGGCGAGUGAAGCGGCAAGAGCUCAAAUUUGAAAGCUGGCUCCUUCGGGGUCCGCAUUGUAAUUUGCAGAGGAUGCUUCGGGAGCGGUCCCCAUCUAAGUGCCCUGGAACGGGACGUCAUAGAGGGUGAGAAUCCCGUAUGGGAUGGGGUGUCCGCGCCCGUGUGAAGCUCCUUCGACGAGUCGAGUUGUUUGGGAAUGCAGCUCUAAAUGGGUGGUAAAUUUCAUCUAAAGCUAAAUAUUGGCCGGAGACCGAUAGCGCACAAGUAGAGUGAUCGAAAGAUGAAAAGCACUUUGAAAAGAGAGUUAAAAAGCACGUGAAAUUGUUGAAAGGGAAGCGCUUGCGACCAGACUCGCUCGCGGGGUUCAGCCGGCAUUCGUGCCGGUGUACUUCCCCGCGGGCGGGCCAGCGUCGGUUUGGGCGGUCGGUCAAAGGCCCUCGGAAGGUAACGCCCCUAGGGGCGUCUUAUAGCCGAGGGUGCAAUGCGACCUGCCUAGACCGAGGAACGCGCUUCGGCUCGGACGCUGGCAUAAUGGUCGUAAGCGACCCGUCUUGAAACACGGACCAAGGAGUCUAACAUCUACGCGAGUGUUCGGGUGUCAAACCCGUGCGCGAAGUGAAAGCGAACGGAGGUGGGAACCCUUACGGGUGCACCAUCGACCGAUCCUGAAGUCUUCGGAUGGAUUUGAGUAAGAGCGUAGCUGUUGGGACCCGAAAGAUGGUGAACUAUGCCUGAAUAGGGCGAAGCCAGAGGAAACUCUGGUGGAGGCUCGUAGCGGGUUCUGACGUGCAAAUCGAUCGUCGAAUUUGGGUAUAGGGGCGAAAAGACUAAUCGAACCAUCUGGUAGCUGGUUCCUGCCGA